Molecule: long non-coding RNA, 259 nt
Organism: Carya illinoinensis
Lineage: Eukaryota; Viridiplantae; Streptophyta; Magnoliopsida; Fagales; Juglandaceae
Exons: 3
Source: RefSeq, a predicted model, not a curated record
GUGGGACGGACAAGGUGGAGAAAAACGUUUGGGAAAAGCUAUGUGAAUACUGGGCAAGUGCAGCAUUCAAGGAGAAGUCCAUGCGAAACAGCUCAAAUAGAUCUAAACUGAAGGUCAAGCAUACUGGUGGCCGCAAAUCCUUUAUACGCAUUUUAGAGGAGAAGCGGGAGGCAGCACUGAACAUGGUUGCCUUCUAUAGGCAAACACAUUGGUCAACCCGGAAGGGUAAAUGGAUCAACGCAGCGACUGAACAUAAUUA